GCUCUGGUGGAUUAGUGGUUAGAGCAUCUGCCUUGGAUGCAGGAUGUCUCAGGUUCAAACCCAUUGGCAGAGUCA
This is a non-coding RNA of Potamilus streckersoni, 75 nucleotides long. Lineage: Eukaryota; Metazoa; Mollusca; Bivalvia; Unionida; Unionidae. The record is from the annotation of a GenBank genome assembly.